Molecule: transfer RNA, 72 nt
Filed under: Capra hircus (goat)
Lineage: Eukaryota; Metazoa; Chordata; Mammalia; Artiodactyla; Bovidae
Also listed under: 1 other name
Rfam family: tRNA
About the family: Transfer RNA (tRNA) molecules are approximately 80 nucleotides in length. Their secondary structure includes four short double-helical elements and three loops (D, anti-codon, and T loops). Further hydrogen bonds mediate the characteristic L-shaped molecular structure. tRNAs have two regions of fundamental functional importance: the anti-codon, which is responsible for specific mRNA codon recognition, and the 3' end, to which the tRNAs corresponding amino acid is attached (by aminoacyl-tRNA synthetases). tRNAs cope with the degeneracy of the genetic code in two manners: having more than one tRNA (with a specific anti-codon) for a particular amino acid; and 'wobble' base-pairing, i.e. permitting non-standard base-pairing at the 3rd anti-codon position.
Source: Rfam by way of RNAcentral
UCCCUGGUGGCUCAGUGGUAAAGAAUCUGCCUGCCAAUGCAGGAGACACAGGUUUGAUCCCUGACCCAGGAA